This 447-nucleotide ribosomal RNA is filed under the name uncultured bacterium. RNAcentral's name for it is "partial 16S ribosomal RNA". It matches the Rfam family "Bacterial small subunit ribosomal RNA", at positions 338 to 795 of the family's 1533-position model. The record is from RNAcentral.
CCUACGGGUGGCAGCAGUGGGGAAUCUUGCGCAAUGGGCGGAAGCCUGACGCAGCGACGCCGCGUGCGGGACGAAGGCCUUCGGGUCGUAAACCGCUUUCAUCAGGGACGAAGCCCUCACGGUGACGGUACCUGCAGCAGAAGCCCCGGCUAACUACGUGCCAACAGCCGAGGUAAUGCGUGGGGGGCGAGCGUUAUCCGGGUUCAUUGGGCGUAAAGCGCGCGUAGGCGGUCUGUUAGGUCGGGGGUCAAAGACCGGGGCUCAACCCCGGUCCGCCUCCGAUACCGGCAGGCUUGAGUGUGGUAGGGGAAGGCGGAAUUCCAAGUGUAGCGGUGGAAUGCGCAGAUAUUGGGAAGAACACCGGCGGCGAAGGCGGCCUUCUGGGCCACGACUGACGCUGAGGCGCGAAAGCGAGGGGAGCGAACAGGAUUAGAUACCCCAGUAGUC